Long non-coding RNA from Gasterosteus aculeatus aculeatus (three-spined stickleback), 2820 nucleotides. NCBI's taxonomy places the organism in Eukaryota, Metazoa, Chordata, Actinopteri, Perciformes, Gasterosteidae. The record is from Ensembl.
GUCACAUUCUAUUGUACUCUAGUUAUACUCCCAGAGCAAUUUACUGGCAGGAAAGGCCAGAGUUAUUUUAGCAGCAGCAGUAACAGUGAGUGAAACAUCAGUUUGUGUGUGUGUCUGUUAACAUGUUAGUAGAGCAUUAGCUGUAGCAUACAGUGAGUGAUGGCUCUACUCUAUGUCAGUGCAUAGCAUUUCUUUCUACACAGCAAAGCCAUCACCAGAGACUUAGCAGGUCAUAUCGGAAACCUUUUGGAAGGGCAUCUCAUUUGUAACAACAAUGCAAUUGUAUAUAAUAAUAUAUCCUUACACUCUGUGCCCAGCCUAUUUCUAUUUCUGGUUACUUUACCAACUAGUACUGCAUGGAUGUUAAUUGUAGUGCAUUUGUACCUUUCCCAGAAGAUGUAAGUGUGCUGGGAGCUUCCUUAAUUUUGGCAAGUAGGACGUCCUUGUCAGCUUUCAGGUCCUUGAUGGCCUCCUCCAGGUAAUUAAUGCGCUCCUCAAGGUGUUCUAUCUUCUGUCGGUCCAUCUUGGUUUGUUCCUUCAGUUUGGCCAACUCCAAUGCACCUGUUGGAGACACUGCAACAGAGGAAGUACUUUAAGUGUAUUAUUGAGGUCAGUCAAUGGUGGUGGUUUACUGUUGUGCAAUAUAUUGAUAUGUGUCAUAUGUUAAUCUAUUCUAUCUAUCUAUCUAUUCAUUAACAUACAUACAUUCAUUGCACUGCAGUACACCAACAAAAUUCCCAGUACUUUUGUGCAUAUUGUUUAUUGAGAAGAUAGGCAAAAAAACAUGUAUGUAAAUAUGUAUAAAUAAAAAGUACAUUUCUAGCCCUUGUUGUGUUCAAAAAUGAAGAAACACCGGACGGACCAUCCCUAGUGCCCGUCUGUAGCCUCCACCAGCGAACUCGAGAACAAUGGUUGCUACAGGUAUUUAUAACAAUGCUUAAAGGUGUGAAAGUCAGUGUCCACACCUCUGGGAGUCUUCUGGUGAGUUCAAUGUAACUCGGAUUUCGAAUGAUCCUUAGUCAAUAUCAGUGGUUGUCCAAGUAUUACAUGCAUGCAUUCCAGUUGAUCACAUUACAUCAAAUACAAUCAUAACUGCAUUGAUAUUAUUCUAUUACAGUUGCAGAUUUACAGUGGUUUUACAAUAUUGUCAUUACUUUAUGGAUUACACAGUUUCAGAAUCAUGGCUGUAUUCUGGUGUACACUAUAUGCAUUUUAUUAAUUUUAUGAACCGGGUCGUAUAUUUCUUUCUAAUAUCCUACACCCUACUGGUGAAAGUAGUAAAAAAAACAUAAAUAGACUAGACUUACUGGUUUUCCUUGGGGAAUAUUUGAUUAGCUUUUUUUUCUUUGGAUGAAUAGGGACCUCUUCACAUUCUUGUGCCAGGUCCUCUUCCACAGCGUGUAGCAGCUUGGGGUUAGCUUCAUUAUCCUCAGCCUUCCUGCCACGUUUGCUGAAACGGGUGUCCAUCUGGCUACAGUUGUGUGCAGUUCCCCAGUAGACACACGUGGGGGCGCUGUUCUGUCUUGUUGAUGGAGCAUUGAGCGACGAGAAGAAGACUGACAUACCGACUUAAAAAAAAGGCGCGGGCGCGGAUCAGAGACGGGUGACUAGUUGUUGAUGCAAUGACACUGAUGGAAGAACUUUUAAAACAUAUUAGACGUUCAAAUACACACAAGAGCAGAAGGAAAAUUGUGAAAUGGACGCAGAAACGUGGUAUCCUGACGACGACGAUGAAAUGCGCAAAAUGCAACCGUCUCAUGCGUCUGGUGAAAUGCCAUGUCAAGGAUGGGCUGUGGUGGGUCUGUAAGCAUCAUAAAAGUUUCCUAAAGUCUGUACGUAAUGGCUCAAUAUUCACCAAGUCUCACAUCCCUCUGACAAAAUGGCUUGAGUUCAUGCACAGAUUUGCCCAAGGUUUGCAAUUGAAGCAACUUGCCAUGAUCAGUGACAGGAUAGCAGCAAGCUCCAGGACAUUGACAAGAAUGGCAAAAGUACUCCGAAAGGUGUGCAUUGCUGCUGUGAAGCGACUGAGGAAAAGAUGUAUGAGGUUUGGUGGUCGUCAUCGAUUCGUUGUUAUUGACGAGAGCAAAUUUGCCCACAAACGAAAGUACCAUCGUGGUCGAUGUGGCAACACUUGGCGCCGUGAACGGCGGUGGGUCUUUGGGAUGUUGGAGGUUGAUAGGAAGUCCAGAAGACCCAUUCUGAGACUCGUCAGGGAUCGCAGAAGGAAGACACUUAUAGGUCAUAUUACACGCCAUGUCAGACCCAGAACAUCCAUCCUCAGUGAUGAAUGGCGUGCCUACAAAGGGCAACUUGCCCAGUAUGGGUAUGAUCAUUAUUCGGUCUGCCAUAAAAACAACUUUGUGGACCGAGAGACUGGUACUCAUACUCAUAUAUACGCAUAUUGAGCGUGCAUGGCAAAGCUACAAGCUGGAAGUAUGGCGUCACAGAGGGAAUCGUACUCCUGAAUCACUCAAGCUUCAUCUUAAGAUGAUAGAGUGGCACCACUGGUUGGGUGUACACCAUUAAAAUGGUGUGUUGGGAAGACUUAUGCAUCUAUGUUGUGGCGUUAAACUCAUUAUAUGUUCUCCUGAGCAGAUCCUUGCUUGUGUUUUACAAACUGUCACUGGAUGAACAUCACAACAAAAUGUUUUGUUUUGAAAUACAUAAAGGAAAAACUAUCUCUUGACUUGUCUGUUGCUUUUGUUAAGGUAUUAUUAUCAUCUGACAGUGUAAUAACACUUAAUAAUAUUUUAAUGAAACAUUCAAAUCGUUCCACUUUACUUGAAUUCAAAGAAAACAGUCAUGACACUUAUAAACUGC